RNAcentral lists this ribosomal RNA (466 nucleotides) under uncultured bacterium. RNAcentral describes it as "bacterial SSU rRNA". It matches the Rfam family "Bacterial small subunit ribosomal RNA", at positions 329 to 792 of the family's 1533-position model. The record is from RNAcentral.
UCCCAGACUCCUACGGGAGGCAGCAGUGAGGAAUAUUGGUCAAUGAGCGCGAGCCUGAACCAGCCAAGUAGCGUGAAGGAUGACUGCCCUACGGGUUGUAAACUUCUUUUAUAAAGGAAUAAAGUGAGGCACGUGUGCCUUUUUGUAUGUAUUUUAUGAAUAAGGAUCGGCUAACUCCGUGCCAGCAGCCGCGGUAAUACGGAGGAUCCGAGCGUUAUCCGGAUUUAUUGGGUUUAAAGGGAGCGUAGAUGGGUUGUUAAGUCAGUUGUGAAAGUUUGCGGCUCAACCGUAAAAUUGCAAUUGAUACUGGCAGCCUUGAGUACAGUUGAGGUAGGCGGAAUUCGUGGUGUAGCGGUGAAAUGCAUAGAUAUCACGCAGAACUCCGAUUGCGAAGGCAGCUUACUAAACUAUAACUGACACUGGAGCACGAAAGCGUGGGGAUCAAACAGGAUUAGAUACCCCGGUA